GGGGCGGCUUACACAUGCAAGUCGAGCGGUAACAGGAGAAGCUUGCUUCUCGCUGACGAGCGGCGGACGGGUGAGUAAUACUUAGGAAUCUACCUAGUAGUGGGGGAUAGCUCGGGGAAACUCGAAUUAAUACCGCAUACGACCUACGGGAGAAAGGGGGCAACUUGUUGCUCUCGCUAUUAGAUGAGCCUAAGUCGGAUUAGCUAGAUGGUGGGGUAAAGGCCUACCAUGGCGACGAUCUGUAGCUGGUCUGAGAGGAUGAUCAGCCACACCGGGACUGAGACACGGCCCGGACUCCUACGGGAGGCAGCAGUGGGGAAUAUUGGACAAUGGGGGCAACCCUGAUCCAGCCAUGCCGCGUGUGUGAAGAAGGCCUUUUGGUUGUAAAGCACUUUAAGCAGUGAAGAAGACUCUAUGGUUAAUACCCAUAGACGAUGACAUUAGCUGCAGAAUAAGCACCGGCUAACUCUGUGCCAGCAGCCGCGGUAAUACAGAGGGUGCAAGCGUUAAUCGGAAUUACUGGGCGUAAAGCGAGCGUAGGUGGCUUGAUAAGUCAGAUGUGAAAGCCCCGGGCUUAACCUGGGAACGGCAUCUGAUACUGUUAGGCUAGAGUAGGUGAGAGGAAGGUAGAAUUCCAGGUGUAGCGGUGAAAUGCGUAGAGAUCUGGAGGAAUACCGAUGGCGAAGGCAGCCUUCUGGCAUCAUACUGACACUGAGGUUCGAAAGCGUGGGUAGCAAACAGGAUUAGAUACCCUGGUAGUCCACGCCGUAGACGAUGUCUACUAGUCGUUGGGUCCCUUGAGGACUUAGUGACGCACCUAACGCAUUAAGUAGACCGCCUGGGGAGUACGGCCGCAAGGUUAAAACUCAAAUGAAUUGACGGGGGCCCGCACAAGCGGUGGAGCAUGUGGUUUAAUUCGAUGCAACGCGAAAAAACCUUACCUGGUCUUGACUAUCUUGAAUCCUGCAAAGAUCCGGGAGUGCCUUCGGAAUUAAAUACAGGUGCUGCAUGGCUGUCGUCACCUCCUGUCCUGGAAUUUGGGUUAAUCCCGAACGAGA
Molecule: ribosomal RNA, 1058 nt
Filed under: Psychrobacter faecalis
Lineage: Bacteria; Pseudomonadati; Pseudomonadota; Gammaproteobacteria; Moraxellales; Moraxellaceae
Description: bacterial SSU rRNA
Rfam family: Bacterial small subunit ribosomal RNA
Source: RNAcentral